CCCAGAAUGGUUGAGCGGUUAAGGUGUUGGGCUCAAGCCCCAAUGGGCAUGAGUCUGAAUCUCACUUCUGCUA
RNAcentral lists this transfer RNA (73 nucleotides) under Chelonia mydas (Green sea turtle). It matches the Rfam family "tRNA". From Rfam's summary of the family: Transfer RNA (tRNA) molecules are approximately 80 nucleotides in length. The record is from Rfam by way of RNAcentral. Lineage: Eukaryota; Metazoa; Chordata; Testudines; Cheloniidae.